This 497-nucleotide ribosomal RNA is filed under the name uncultured bacterium. Its description in RNAcentral is "partial 16S ribosomal RNA". It matches the Rfam family "Bacterial small subunit ribosomal RNA", at positions 28 to 507 of the family's 1533-position model. The record is from RNAcentral.
GACGAACGCUGGCGGCGUGCCUAAUACAUGCAAGUUGAGCGCUGAAGGUUGGUACUUGUACCAACUGGAUGAGCAGCGAACGGGUGAGUAACGCGUGGGGAAUCUGCCUUUGAGCGGGGGACAACAUUUGGAAACGAAUGCUAAUACCGCAUAAAAACUUUAAACACAAGUUUUAAGUUUGAAAGAUGCACUUGCAUCACUCAAAGAUGAUCCCGCGUUGUAUUAGCUAGUUGGUGAGGUAAAGGCUCACCAAGGCGAUGAUACAUAGCCGACCUGAGAGGGUGAUCGGCCACAUUGGGACGGAGACACGGCCCAAACUCCUACGGGAGGCAGCAGGAGGGAAUCUUCGGCAAUGGACGAAAGUCUGACCGAGCAACGCCGCGGGAGUGAAGAAGGGUUUCGGAUCGUAAAACUCUGUUGGUAGAGAAGAACGUUGGUGAGAGUGGAAAGCUCAUCAAGUGACGGUAACUACCCAGAAAGGGACGGCUAACUACGUG